RNAcentral lists this ribosomal RNA (303 nucleotides) under uncultured bacterium. RNAcentral describes it as "partial 16S ribosomal RNA". It matches the Rfam family "Bacterial small subunit ribosomal RNA", at positions 507 to 807 of the family's 1533-position model. The record is from RNAcentral.
AGCAGCCGCCGCGGGAAAACAGAGGGUGCGAGCGUUAAUCGGAUUUACUGGGCGUAAAGCGUGCGUAGGCGGCUUCUUAAGUCGGAUGUGAAAUCCCUGAGCUUAACUUAGGAAUUGCAUUCGAUACUGGGAAGCUAGAGUAUGGGAGAGGAUGGUAGAAUUCCAGGUGUAGCGGUGAAAUGCGUAGAGAUCUGGAGGAAUACCGAUGGCGAAGGCAGCCAUCUGGCCUAAUACUGACGCUGAGGUACGAAAGCAUGGGGAGCAAACAGGAUUCGAUACCCCCGUAGUCCCUGUCUCUUAUAC